UUAAGCGACUAAGCGUACACGGUGGAUGCCCUGGCAGUCAGAGGCGAUGAAGGACGUGCUAAUCUGCGAUAAGCGUCGGUAAGGUGAUAUGAACCGUUAUAACCGGCGAUUUCCGAAUGGGGAAACCCAGUGUGAUUCGUCACACUAUCAUUAACUGAAUCCAUAGGUUAAUGAGGCGAACCGGGGGAACUGAAACAUCUAAGUACCCCGAGGAAAAGAAAUCAACCGAGAUUCCCCCAGUAGCGGCGAGCGAACGGGGAGCAGCCCAGAGCCUGAAUCAGUGUGUGUGUUAGUGGAAGCGUCUGGAAAGGCGCGCGAUACAGGGUGACAGCCCCGUACACAAAAAUGCACAUGCUGUGAGCUCGAUGAGUAGGGCGGGACACGUGGUAUCCUGUCUGAAUAUGGGGGACCAUCCUCCAAGGCUAAAUACUCCUGACUGACCGAUAGUGAACCAGUACCGUGAGGGAAAGGCGAAAAGAACCCCGGCGAGGGGAGUGAAAAAGAACCUGAAACCGUGUACGUACAAGCAGUGGGAGCACAGAGCAAUCUGUGUGACUGCGUACCUUUUGUAUAAUGGGUCAGCGACUUAUAUUCUGUAGCAAGGUUAACCGAAUAGGGGAGCCGAAGGGAAACCGAGUCUUAACUGGGCGUUAAGUUGCAGGGUAUAGACCCGAAACCCGGUGAUCUAGCCAUGGGCAGGUUGAAGGUUGGGUAACACUAACUGGAGGACCGAACCGACUAAUGUUGAAAAAUUAGCGGAUGACUUGUGGCUGGGGGUGAAAGGCCAAUCAAACCGGGAGAUAGCUGGUUCUCCCCGAAAGCUAUUUAGGUAGCGCCUCGUGAAUUCAUCUCCGGGGGUAGAGCACUGUUUCGGCAAGGGGGUCAUCCCGACUUACCAACCCGAUGCAAACUGCGAAUACCGGAGAAUGUUAUCACGGGAGACACACGGCGGGUGCUAACGUCCGUCGUGAAGAGGGAAACAACCCAGACCGCCAGCUAAGGUCCCAAAGUCAUGGUUAAGUGGGAAACGAUGUGGGAAGGCCCAGACAGCCAGGAUGUUGGCUUAGAAGCAGCCAUCAUUUAAAGAAAGCGUAAUAGCUCACUGGUCGAGUCGGCCUGCGCGGAAGAUGUAACGGGGCUAAACCAUGCACCGAAGCUACGGCAGCGACGCUGAUGCGUUGUUGGGUAGGGGAGCGUUCUGUAAGCCUGCGAAGGUGUGCUGUGAGGCAUGCUGGAGGUAUCAGAAGUGCGAAUGCUGACAUAAGUAACGAUAAAGCGGGUGAAAAGCCCGCUCGCCGGAAGACCAAGGGUUCCUGUCCAACGUUAAUCGGGGCAGGGUGAGUCGACCCCUAAGGCGAGGCCGAAAGGCGUAGUCGAUGGGAAACAGGUUAAUAUUCCUGUACUUGGUGUUACUGCGAAGGGGGGACGGAGAAGGCUAUGUUGGCCGGGCGACGGUUGUCCCGGUUUAAGCGUGUAGGCUGGUUUUCCAGGCAAAUCCGGAAAAUCAAGGCUGAGGCGUGAUGACGAGGCACUACGGUGCUGAAGCAACAAAUGCCCUGCUUCCAGGAAAAGCCUCUAAGCAUCAGGUAACAUCAAAUCGUACCCCAAACCGACACAGGUGGUCAGGUAGAGAAUACCAAGGCGCUUGAGAGAACUCGGGUGAAGGAACUAGGCAAAAUGGUGCCGUAACUUCGGGAGAAGGCACGCUGAUAUGUAGGUGAAGUCCCUCGCGGAUGGAGCUGAAAUCAGUCGAAGAUACCAGCUGGCUGCAACUGUUUAUUAAAAACACAGCACUGUGCAAACACGAAAGUGGACGUAUACGGUGUGACGCCUGCCCGGUGCCGGAAGGUUAAUUGAUGGGGUCAGCGCAAGCGAAGCUCUUGAUCGAAGCCCCGGUAAACGGCGGCCGUAACUAUAACGGUCCUAAGGUAGCGAAAUUCCUUGUCGGGUAAGUUCCGACCUGCACGAAUGGCGUAAUGAUGGCCAGGCUGUCUCCACCGAGACUCAGUGAAAUUGAACUCGCUGUGAAGAUGCAGUGUACCCGCGGCAAGACGGAAAGACCCCGUGAACCUUUACUAUAGCUUGACACUGAACAUUGAGCCUUGAUGUGUAGGAUAGGUGGGAGGCUUUGAAGUGUGGACGCCAGUCUGCAUGGAGCCGGCCUUGAAAUACCACCCUUUAAUGUUUGAUGUUCUAACGUUGACCCGUAAUCCGGGUUGCGGACAGUGUCUGGUGGGUAGUUUGACUGGGGCGGUCUCCUCCUAAAGAGUAACGGAGGAGCACGAAGGUUGGCUAAUCCUGGUCGGACAUCAGGAGGUUAGUGCAAUGGCAUAAGCCAGCUUGACUGCGAGCGUGACGGCGCGAGCAGGUGCGAAAGCAGGUCAUAGUGAUCCGGUGGUUCUGAAUGGAAGGGCCAUCGCUCAACGGAUAAAAGGUACUCCGGGGAUAACAGGCUGAUACCGCCCAAGAGUUCAUAUCGACGGCGGUGUUUGGCACCUCGAUGUCGGCUCAUCACAUCCUGGGGCUGAAGUAGGUCCCAAGGGUAUGGCUGUUCGCCAUUUAAAGUGGUACGCGAGCUGGGUUUAGAACGUCGUGAGACAGUUCGGUCCCUAUCUGCCGUGGGCGCUGGAGAACUGAGGGGGGCUGCUCCUAGUACGAGAGGACCGGAGUGGACGCAUCACUGGUGUUCGGGUUGUCAUGCCAAUGGCACUGCCCGGUAGCUAAAUGCGGAAGAGAUAAGUGCUGAAAGCAUCUAAGCACGAAACUUGCCCCGAGAUGAGUUCUCCCUGACUCCUUGAGAGUCCUGAAGGAACGUUGAAGACGACGACGUUGAUAGGCCGGGUGUGUAAGCGCAGCGAUGCGUUGAGCUAACCGGUACUAAUGAACCGUGAGGCUUAACCUU
This 2902-nucleotide ribosomal RNA is filed under the name Escherichia coli. Its description in RNAcentral is "bacterial LSU rRNA". It matches the Rfam family "Bacterial large subunit ribosomal RNA". Lineage: Bacteria; Pseudomonadati; Pseudomonadota; Gammaproteobacteria; Enterobacterales; Enterobacteriaceae. The record is from RNAcentral.